AUUGAACGCUGGCGGCAGGCUUAACACAUGCAAGUCGAGCGAGCGGCGGACGGGUGAGUAAUGUCUGGGAAACUGCCUGAUGGAGGGGGAUAACUACUGGAAACGGUAGCUAAUACCGCAUACCAUCAGAUGUGCCCAGAUGGGAUUAGCUAGUAGGUGGGGUAAUGGCUCACCUAGGCGACGAUCCCUAGCUGGUCUGAGAGGAUGACCAGCCAAACGGGAACUGAGCCAAGGUCCAGACUCCUACGGUAGGCAGAGGUGGGGAGUAUGGCACAAUGGGUGCAAGCCUGAUGCAGCCAUGCCGGGUGUAUGAAGAAGGCCUUCGGGUUGUAAAGCACUUUCAGCGGGGAGGCGUUACUCGCAGAAGAAGCACCGGCUAACUCCGUGCCAGCAGCGGCGGUAAUAC
RNAcentral lists this ribosomal RNA (406 nucleotides) under uncultured bacterium. Its description in RNAcentral is "partial 16S ribosomal RNA". It matches the Rfam family "Bacterial small subunit ribosomal RNA", at positions 30 to 526 of the family's 1533-position model. The record is from RNAcentral.